Long non-coding RNA from Mustela erminea (ermine), 614 nucleotides. RefSeq lists it as uncharacterized. The record is from RefSeq and is a predicted model, not a curated record. The transcript has 4 exons. NCBI's taxonomy places the organism in Eukaryota, Metazoa, Chordata, Mammalia, Carnivora, Mustelidae.
CUUAGAUGUGGCUUGGAUAACUGGCCUCUAGACCAUCCUCAGUGCCUCCUGCACCAUGGCUCCUUCUCUCUUCACUGUUAAGGAGCAAGAAAAGCACCGCUGGACAUAACACUUCCCACUCUAAAUUUCUCCACCUGUGUCUCAGGUAAUGCUUCUCCAGGAGUGAGGGCUAGUAUGGGGCACCAACAGCGGAGAUAAGAGCAUCAUAUGGAGUUCCAGAGAACAGCUGCACAACCAGACACAUUGUUCUCAAGCAAGAGUCCUACAACCCCCAUACCCAAAGUCCAUGGCCAUGUUUCAGUGCUGUAAGAGGUACUGGAAACCAAAGAGCACACCUUUUCUUGGAGGGAGAAGGAGUCGACUUUUCUUGAUAUUGUACGAGAACACCACUUACUGAUCUUCUUCCGCAUGCUCUGCUCCUCCUUCCCUGCUGGGGACGUUCCUCCACUUUCGCUGCUCCCCGAUUUGGAAAGAUCCUUCAAGCCCUUCCCCAUUUGCCACUUCUUCCACAGCAUGUUCCCUGACGGAGUGUGAGGACAGACAUGGAUACUGAUGAGGAAACAGAAGGCAAGCUGAGGACAAAGCAGAACCUGACACCCCACAACCUACCCCCC